Molecule: ribosomal RNA, 483 nt
Filed under: uncultured bacterium
Lineage: Bacteria
Description: bacterial SSU rRNA
Rfam family: Bacterial small subunit ribosomal RNA
Source: RNAcentral
CAGGCCUAACACAUGCAAGUCGAGCGGUAGAGAGAAGCUUGCUUCUCUUGAGAGCGGCGGACGGGUGAGUAAUGCCUAGGAAUCUGCCUGGUAGUGGGGGAUAACGUUCGGAAACGGACGCUAAUACCGCAUACGUCUACGGGAGAAAGCAGGGGACUUCGGGCCUUGCGCUAUCAGAUGAGCCUAGGUCGGAUUAGCUAGUUGGUGAGGUAAUGGCUCACCAAGGCGACGAUCCGUAACUGGUCUGAGAGGAUGAUCAGUCACACUGGAACUGAGACACGGUCCAGACUCUACGGGAGGCAGCAGUGGGGAAUAUUGGACAAUGGGCGAAAGCCUGAUCCAGCCAUGCCGCGUGUGUGAAGAAGGUCUUCGGAUUGUAAAGCACUUUAAGUUGGGAGGAAGGGCAGUUACCUAAUACGUGAUUGUUUUGACGUUACCGACAGAAUAAGCACCGGCUAACUCUGUGCCAGCAGCCGCGGUAAU